CAUGGCUCAGGACGAACGCUGGCGGCGUGCCUAAUACAUGCAAGUCGAGCGGAGAUUUGGGAGCUUGCUCCCAAAUCUUAGCGGCGGACGGGUGAGUAACACGUGGGCAACCUGCCCUGCAGACUGGGAUAACUCCGGGAAACCGGAGCUAAUACCGGGUAAUACAUCGCACCGCAUGGUGCAAUGUUGAAAGUUGGCUUUCGAGCUAACACUGCAGGAUGGGCCCGCGGCGCAUUAGCUAGUUGGUAAGGUAAUGGCUUACCAAGGCGACGAUGCGUAGCCGACCUGAGAGGGUGAUCGGCCACACUGGGACUGAGACACGGCCCAGACUCCUACGGGAGGCAGCAGUAGGGAAUCUUCCGCAAUGGACGAAAGUCUGACGGAGCAACGCCGCGUGAGUGACGAAGGCCUUCGGGUCGUAAAGCUCUGUUGUUAGGGAAGAACAAGUACCGUUCGAAUAGGGCGGUACCUUGACGGUACCUAACCAGAAAGCCACGGCUAACUACGUGCCAGCAGCCGCGGUAAUACGUAGGUGGCAAGCGUUGUCCGGAAUUAUUGGGCGUAAAGCGCGCGCAGGCGGUCUUUUAAGUCUGAUGUGAAAGCCCACGGCUCAACCGUGGAGGGUCAUUGGAAACUGGAGGACUUGAGUGCAGAAGAGGAGAGUGGAAUUCCACGUGUAGCGGUGAAAUGCGUAGAUAUGUGGAGGAACACCAGUGGCGAAGGCGGCUCUCUGGUCUGUAACUGACGCUGA
This 751-nucleotide ribosomal RNA is filed under the name Guptibacillus hwajinpoensis. Its description in RNAcentral is "bacterial SSU rRNA". It matches the Rfam family "Bacterial small subunit ribosomal RNA", at positions 18 to 749 of the family's 1533-position model. Lineage: Bacteria; Bacillati; Bacillota; Bacilli; Caryophanales; Guptibacillaceae. The record is from RNAcentral.